GUGAGUAACACGUGAGCAACCUGCCCUUCUCUUUGGAAUAAGCGUUGGAAACGACGUCUAAUGCCGAAUAUGACCUCUUUUCGCAUGAUUUGAGGUGGAAAGCUCCGGCGGAGAGGGAUGGGCUCGCGGCCUAUCAGCUAGUUGGUGUGGGUAAUGGCCCACCAAGGCGACGACGGGUAGCCGGCCUGAGAGGGUGACCGGCCACACUGGGACUGAGACACGGCCCAGACUCCUACGGGAGGCAGCAGUGGGGAAUAUUGGACAAUGGGCGAAAGCCUGAUCCAGCAACGCCGCGUGAGGGAUGACGGCCUUCGGGUUGUAAACCUCUUUCAGCGGGGACGAAGCGAAAGUGACGGUACCCGCAGAAGAAGGACCGGCCAACUACGUGCCAGCAGCCGCGGUAAUACGUAGGGUCCGAGCGUUGUCCGGAAUUAUUGGGCGUAAAGGGCUCGUAGGCGGUCUGUCGCGUCGGGAGUGAAAACUCAGGGCUCAACCCUGAGCGUGCUUCCGAUACGGGCAGACUAGAGGUAUGCAGGGGAGAACGGAAUUCCUGGUGUAGCGGUGGAAUGCGCAGAUAUCAGGAGGAACACCGGUGGCGAAGGCGGUUCUCUGGGCAUUACCUGACGCUGAGGAGCGAAAGCAUGGGGAGCGAACAGGAUUAGAUACCCUGGUAGUCCAUGCCGUAAACGUUGGGCGCUAGGUGUGGGGACCUUCCACGGUUUCCGUGCCGCAGCUAACGCAUUAAGCGCCCCGCCUGGGGAGUACGGCCGCAAGGCUAAAACUCAAAAGGAAUUGACGGGGGGCCCGCACAAGCGGCCGGAGCAUGCUUGAUUAAUUUCGAUGCAACGCCGAAGAACCUUUACCUUGGUUUUGACAUAUACCCGGAAAAGCUGCAAAAGAUGUAACCCCCCCUUUGUGGUCCGGAAUACAAGGUGGGUGCAUGGGCUUGUCCUCCAGCUCCGUGUCCUGGAGAUUGUUGGGGUUAAAGUCCCCGCAACCGAGCGGCAACCCCUCCGUCCUAUUGUUGGCCAGGACCGUCAUUGGUGGGGGACUCCAUAAGGAAAACUGGCCGGGGGUCAAAUUCCGGAAGGAAAGGUGGGG
This 1101-nucleotide ribosomal RNA is filed under the name Aeromicrobium sp. SeCd76b. RNAcentral describes it as "bacterial SSU rRNA". It matches the Rfam family "Bacterial small subunit ribosomal RNA", at positions 106 to 1178 of the family's 1533-position model. Lineage: Bacteria; Bacillati; Actinomycetota; Actinomycetes; Propionibacteriales; Nocardioidaceae. The record is from RNAcentral.